UCUGGUGAUGAUGGCAUAGAGGUAACACUCCUUUCCAUUCCGAACAGGACAGUUAAGGUCUAUAGC
RNAcentral lists this ribosomal RNA (66 nucleotides) under Clostridium butyricum. Lineage: Bacteria; Bacillati; Bacillota; Clostridia; Eubacteriales; Clostridiaceae. The record is from RNAcentral.